UGGUCAAUUAAAAAGUCUGACAUAUAUAUAUAUAGUUUGAAUAUUUCAGUUGCACGGAGACAUAAUCGUUAAUUUAUUCAUACAAGGUAAUAGUACAAACUGGAACAAACUACAUAAGUUACUUGAAAUGUAACUUGCAAAUUCAGAGAAGAUAUAUCACAUUCUUGAGAUUUGGAGAGGAACUGCUGCUUCAAGGGUCUCCUCCCUAGAGGAAACAGCCUGAACCAUUUCCAGACUUCCAUGUCUUUUGAUGAGAUGUCGGCGGCACGUUUCACCAGCCAUAAUUCCAGCUUCAUACGCACCAUGAACCGACCCUUGAUGAUCAUCACUGCUCACAGCUUCCCCUCCAAAGAAUAGAUUACCAAUUGGUGCACGAAGCCUAUCGUAAGCAUCCGUUGGUUUUCCAACCAAGUCAUAAGAAUAACAUCCAAGGGUGUCUGGAUCCGUACCCCAGUGAGAUACAAGAUACUGAACAGGCUUAGUGGCAUCAGGGAACAUCUUCUUCAACUGCAACAUUGCAAACUCAGCAGCAGAUUCAUCUGUUAAUUUCUCGAGGUCACAAGCAAGUCUUCCAGCAGCCAUGUAAACAAGGACCCGAUGUCCUGUUGCCUUGUGGAGAUUAAGAAAAUAACCGCAAGCAUAUGAAGUGGGUGCAACAACACCUAACAAUUCUACGUUUGGCCAAAAUACAUUAUCAAAUCGUAAUGCAAUCUUGUUUUCAUUGCCUACACCAAGAUCUGCUAUUGCAGAUUGUUUCCAUUCUGGCAGUUUUGGCUCAAACUCAAUCAAGUUGGCUUUCAGAACACCUAGAGGCACAGUUAUAAUAGCAGCAUCUGCAAUAAAAUUUCUCCCAUCCUUAACUGUAACCAUCACCUUGUUAUACCCAUUUGUAAUCCUCUUGACCCUGUGAUUUAAACGGAUAUCAAUGUCUUUUGAUAAGGCCUUUAUGACUGGGUUGUAACCUUGCACCAUAAGACCAUGACCACCAGUGAGAACUUGUUCCUGAUCCCAGGUUUUCAGAGAGAUCGUGUCUGCAUCAGCAGCGAACCAUGCCUCCAUUCUGCAUAUGUACCAUUGCAACACCUCAUGGGAAAGUCCUUCUUGCCUCAAUUCUGGAUGCCUGUCCAGUACAAUAGAUAUUGCUUGAAGAACUGACAAGUCAUGACUAUGCUCAUUCCUCACUUUCUCAGUCUCGCUGAGGAUUUUCUUGAAAACUUCUCCAACUUGAACAACUGUGUUUUGAGGAACUUGAUGACCAUCCAUGUCAAACAGCAUGUAACUUUCUAAGUCAUGGUCAUACAGCACUGAGUUGUCACCACUAGUGCGAUAUAGGGUGAGCCCUAAUCGACGUAUCAAUGGAGCCAACGGAUUCUCAUCACACACCCCGUGGAGCCAUGAUGCUCCCAUAUCAACUGGGCAACCAAAUGAGUAGUCGGUAUGUAUGCGACCACCCAGUCUAUCCCGUGACUCCAAUAAGAGAACCUUAAAAGAUGCAUUGUGAAGGAAACGCGCAGCAGCUAUCCCUGAGAUACCUCCACCAAUUACAAUUACAGACGGAGCUGAACUAUGCAGCCUACCUAAGCGGGGUGGUAAAAUGCCGUCAAAUAAAUUGCUGGAACCAGAAUCAUCAUCUUUGAUUUCCAUGAAAUCCGUGAACAAAAACGCCGACGUUGUUUAAAUCGGGAGAGAAGAGUGAAUGUUUUUGAACAGAGGAAAAAAACAGAGAAGGAAGGUGAUUGUGAAGUAAAUUACGGUUGUAUAGGAAUCAAGAAAUUAGAAAUUAAUUGAGAUGAAUGAUAAAGCAUGAAGAUAAGAAGGCCGGCAAUGAAGCGGCUGAGAUUAGAAGAAGACCGUAGCUUAUCAAGCCAGCUCAUAAUCAUAACCUGGAUCAAAUAUCAACGCAACAAAUCCUCCACAAUUGAUCGAAGAUUUUUGCUUCGUUUGCAUAGAUCGACCAGAAAUUAAUCUCUGAAUCGUAGUACGUCUCUCUCUAGAUCUCAAUAGUGAAUAAUCUCUCUUUCUCUCUCUAUAAGGAAGAGUCUGG
This 2044-nucleotide unclassified non-coding RNA is filed under the name Hevea brasiliensis (rubber tree). The record is from RNAcentral. Lineage: Eukaryota; Viridiplantae; Streptophyta; Magnoliopsida; Malpighiales; Euphorbiaceae.